This 329-nucleotide small RNA is filed under the name Histoplasma capsulatum. RNAcentral's name for it is "hypothetical RNA". RNAcentral also lists the same sequence under 1 other name. The record is from RNAcentral. Lineage: Eukaryota; Fungi; Ascomycota; Eurotiomycetes; Onygenales; Ajellomycetaceae.
CCCUACCUAUCUACAAACCUGUCUGCUCAAUAUUCAAUCAAUCUCUAUGAGAAUAAACAUCACCAUCUAUCUACCCACCUAUCUAUCAAUGCUCGCUUACUAGCUGACUACCUACUGAUCUAUCUACUUACCUGCUUGAAUGAAUGAUAUCUAAUCGUGAUAGACAGUUGUAUAUCAAAUAUGACAAUGACUAUAAUUAGUUCACUUUUUGUUUUUCACUUUUAACUUUCACUUUUUUACUUUUUUGAUGACAUUUAUGGAUUAAAUAUUGGUUUUUUUUCAAAAUAUUUUUUAAAGUUAAUUAAAAUGAAAAGAUCUAUUUCUGCGGU